AAGGCACCAUGCAAAACGCACUUGUUGAAUAGAACGGAGAAAAAUCUAAAGCGUUUACAUAAGCUAAACGAUACCAUGUUCCAAACAAUCUACUUCAUCUAACGGUGAAGUUUCCAUCAACUGCUUGGUAUCUUAGUACAAAGCUUAAAUGAUCAAAUCCUACCUGAAUGGUAGAAUCCGCAAAGUUGUUUUGAAAAAACAUUAAAUGCUCAACGUUUAAAAAUAACAAAACUGACAAGAGAAAAGAUAUAUCUACUGCAUGCAUAUCUACUCUACUUUGUGCAGAUUGUCUAUCACAUGCAUCCAUAUGCUCCAUCCUAUACAAAUAAGAAGUGAAAGUUAGGAAUAAAUAAGACAAUCAUGGAAUGUUCUCUCUAUCAAAACGUACCAAGAAAAUCGUACCACCUACCAAGAAAAUAUGGAAAACAAAGAAUACAACCUCAACAGUUCAUCCCAACCCAAAGAAGAGUCGUCUACAAAAAGCAGUACAACUCAAGACAACUUCAAGGGCAAUAUAUAAUAGAAGUUUGCUAACCGACUUCGAAAAAGAAAUGAAUAACUUUGAAUGCUCAUUAUAAUACUCCGACAGUGAGGUAAAUUUUUUUGACUUAGACUCCGUUACUGAAGCCUGUUAUAGAGUGUUGACAAAGUGUACAAAACUAGCUUAAACCUAUCAAAAAGUAAGGAAACAAAAUAAAAGAAUCUUAAAAGGAGAUGAUGCUUUGAAAAAUGAACUGAAAUCAUCCAAGAUAGAAGCCAAAACAUUAGAAAAAGAUAUCAACAAAUUAGAAAGUGAACUAGCAAUCUCAGAAAGAGAGAAUUAUAGACUAGUGCGGAAGAACAAAAUUUUGGUGGAAAACGCAACAAUUGGAAAAGAUGUUAGAUGCCUUGAGUUUCUUGCACUCAAAAAUAAUAUCUUGCUCAAGACAUCAAACAAAACGUUUUGAGAAAUUAAAGGUUUAAAGCUACUUGUCAAGAGUAGCAAAUGUUUUGCACACCAAGAGAUCCUAAGCAUAAUAACAGUAGUAUAAAUUAUGUCUCCAAAUCAAAAAAAUAUAUCCUCGAAUAUAGAUCUCAUAUACAAGGGAAACCACACAAAUAAAUAUGAAUAACAAAAUAGGACCCAGAACUAGAUAGGCACCAAAGAAUUAAAUUCUUUUGCUUGCAGAAGUGUUAGACGAUCGAGUGGAAACUCCGAUUAUGAAACCUGGCAAGUGGCUUCUAAUAGUACACAAGGGAAGGAAAGUGUAUAUCCCUAAGCUAGAAGAGUCUAUUAGAGAACAGCUUUUACAGAGAGAUGAAUAAGAAAGGUGAACGUAAUCUGAAUAUGCCUCGUACUCAUUUAUCAGAGAGUGUGUAAAUUUAUACAACAGAGUUAUGUAAAACAGAUAGAAAUAACAGACCUAAUAGACUUAACUGUCUUAGAGACAGUUUACAUAACAGCUAAUUGUAAAACCCAUAACACUAAAAUGAGGGCAUUGAAUUAACUUUCCAAUACACCCCCCUAAUUCAAUGUCUUCAAAGAUAGCACUCCAAUACUUGAUCUGAGGAAUUUGAAUCUUUCCAACUUGAGAGAUUUCGUAAAAAUGUCUGCAAGUUGGAGCUCGGUCCGGCAAUGUUUCAAAACAAUCCUCCCUUUAGUUACCAUAUCACACAAGAAAUGAUACUUGAUGUCUAUGUGUUUGCUGCGACCAUGACUAACCGGAUUCUUCGCAAGAUUGAUUGCUGAUGUGUUGUCCAGGUUUAGUUCAACACAGUCCAUAGUCUCUAUUUUUAAAUGCCUAAGAAUUUCCCUCAGCCAUACACUUUGACACACAGGAUGACAACCAGCUACAUAUUCAGAUUCGCAAUUGGACAAUGCUAUGACAUUCUGCUUUUUAGAACUCCAUGAGAUUGGAGCACCAUGGAUGAAGAAUAUGCUUCCAUAUGUGCUUUUCCUGUCAUCUUCAUCACCACCAAAGUCUACAUCUGAAUAGCCCACCAGCUUCACUUCUUCACGUUUCUGACCUUGCUGAAAUAGAAUGCCAAAACUUCAGUUCCUUUUAUGUAUCUCAUCAUUUGUUUUGCAGCAGUCAUGUGGCUUUUCCUAGGAUUACUCAUGAAUCAACUCAACAAUCCAACUCCAAACAUGAUAUCUGGACGGUUGUUGCAUAGGAAUCUCAACGAUCCAACCAGUUGUUUAUACCUGGUUCCAUCUACACCUUCUUCUUCUUCAUUGAUCCGCAGCUUCUUGCCAACCUCAAGUGGGGUUUCGACUUCAUUGCAUUUAUCCAUCAUGAACUUGCUUAGUAUGUCUCUUACAUACUUUCUCUGGUGCAUCAGCAGCCCUGUAGAGGUCUUAGAAAAUUCCAUUCCCAAGAAAUACCUAAGUUCUCCCAUAUCAGUCAUGUCAAACUCAGUCUGCAUCAACUGUUUGAAUUCUUCCAAGCUCGAACCAGUCAGCAACAAAUCAUCAACAUAAAGACAUACAAAUAGGACAUUGUUGUUUUUGUUUGUCUUCACAUACAGGCUGUGCUCCACUGAACAUCUAUCAAAACCUUUGCUGUCAAAGAAUGCAUUGAUCCUCUUAUUCCACGCACGAGGGGCUUGUCUCAAUUCGUAGAGUGCUUUAUCAAGUUUAUAGACUUGAUUCUCUCUUCCUUUCUUGAUGAAACCCGGAGGCUGUUUGAUGUACACCUCUUCCUCGAGAAAUCCAUGCAAAAAAGCAGAUUUCACAUCAAGAGCAAAUAGAUUCCAUUCUCUAAAGCAUGCUAUAGCAACAAUUAUACGAAUGUUUCUAACCUUGCGACAGGUGCGAAUACUUCAGUGAAAUCUAUGCCCUCCUUUUGUAGAAAUCCCUUGGCCAAGAGCCUAGCUUUAUGCUUCAAUACAGAACCAUUUGGGUUUAUUUUCUUCUUGAAGAUCCACUUCACGUUUAUACUCUUCUUGCCCUGUGGUAAAUCCAUCAACUUCCAAGUCUUAUUCUUCUCGAUGGAUCUUAAUUCUUCAGUCAUUGCAGCUUUCCAAACUGGUUGAGGCAGAGCUUCGUUGACAUCCAUUGGUUCACUCCCGGCAAUCAAAGCUAGAUGUAUUAUAUCUCCCUCUUCAUCAACUCCAGCGUUUGAAUAUAUUUCGUAAUCAUUUAGUCUUGAGGGUUGCACCACAGAUCUUCUAGGUCUUGUUUCGUUGUUCAUUGUCCCAGUGGUUCCUGUAUUAUCUACUGCUAGAGUAGAGUUAUCUACUGCCUGAUUAGAUCCAUCUAUCUCGACAUUUUUGUCUUCUUUGUCUGACAGUUGUAUGCUCACAGAAGUUGCUGACUUCUUCAUGCUGGUUUGGUUGAACUUCCAAUUCCAGCUUUCAUCUUCAAGCACGACUACAUCUCGACUAAUAGUUAUUUUCCUUUUGAUUGGGUCGAACAACCUAUAAGCUCCUGUGGACUGAUAUCCCACAAACACCAUGGCUUCUCCCUUGUCGUCAAGUUUUACUCUUCUCUGAUCUGCUACAUGACAAAAGGCCAAUGAUCCAAAAAUUUUAAAAUGUUUCACAGAAGUUUUCUUACCUGUCCACGCUGCAUGCGGCAAUGCGGCACAUGGUUUGGAAGGCUUUUGGUUGGACACCUGUUUAAUACAUGAACAGUUGUCGCCACUGCUUCUCCCCACAACUCACGAACCACACCCUUCUCCUUAAGCAUACACCUGACCAUGUUCAUAAUGGUUCUGUUGCGUCUCUCAGCUAACCCAUUGUGUUCUGGUGUAUAGGCUGUUAUCACUUCAUGGAUUACUCCAUUUUCUUGGCAGAAUGCUUCAAAUUCUCGUGAAGUGUAUUCUCCCCCACCAUCUGUUCUAAUCAGUUUAAUCCUUCUUUCGAUUUCUCCUUCUGCUUGCUUCUUGAAUUGUUUGAAUAUUCCCAGUACCUCAUUCUUCUGUCUCAUGAAAAACACCCAUAUCAUACGGCUGAAUUCAUCAACGAAGGUCACAAAAUAUUUAUUCCCUGCUACUGUUGGAGGUUCAAUUGGCCCACACACGUCUGAGUGCAAUACUUCUAGUCGUUCUUUAGAUCUUGAUUUGAGUUGUUUCCUGAAUGACCUCCUAGCUUGCUUCCCAAUUAUGCAAGUUUCACAUUCUCUACGUGGUUGAGUAAUGCUUGGUAACUCAUACACCAUUUCUUUGCUGUUUAGUUGCUGCAGAUCUUUGAAAUUUAGGUGUCCGAACCUAAAAUGCCAUUUCCAGCUCUCGUCUUCUUUCACAGACGAUAAACACUGUAAUGUCUCAACUACAUCCAGACGAACCUGAAACGUCCGAUUUCCUGAUCUUGCACAUUUCAGAAUCAGAUUUUUACCUUUGUCAUAUACUUCCAUCUGCGCAUCACCUCCCAUGAUGACAGUGUACCCCUUCUCUAUCAGUUGUCCUACACUCAGGAGGUUGCACUUCAUCUCUGGUACGAGAAGAACAUUUUCAAGUGUUGCAUGCAGCCCGUUCUUUCUUUUGAUUAUAAUCGUUCCAAUCCUUUCUACUCUCAACGUGUUGUUGUUGGCAACUCUGACUUUACUCUUCUUGGAUUCAUCUAGAUUCACCAACCAGCUUCUGUUGUACGUCAUAUGAUUAGAACAACAAGAGUCCACAUACCAGAUGUUUUGUGCUAUCCCGGUGUCCUCUAUGUUGGUGGCAACCAUGAGUAUUAAAGGUUCUGACUCAAAUUCUUCUUCUUCAACCACAUGAGCUUCUUUGUUUUGAACCCCCUUGUUCUGGGCAUUCUUGUUAAACCAGCACUCGUAAGAUAGAUGUCCUUUCUUACGGCAGAUAAAACAUUCCAUAUUCUUUUUCUCUUCUUUUGAAUAUUGCUUCCUCGGGGUAUUCUUUCUAUCUGUAGCAUUGCUUUUCGCUUCUUGAUCAUCUGUGUCUUUCUUCCAUUUCUUCGUAUCUUUGCCCAUCCCUUUCCACUUGUUUGAUUUCUUCUUUUCAUCACCAGAAAUAUGUUGAAUCUUCAAGGCUUGGUCAUCGUGUUUCUUCCUGCCAUUUCUUCGCAUUUCAUGAGCUUCAAACGUACUUUGCAAUUCUUCAAUCCUAAGUUUCUCCAAAUCUCUGGUUUCUUUAAUGGUUAUGACAAGAUGGUCGAAUGCAGCAGGCAAUGAUCUCAGAAUCUUUUCCAUUAUCAUUGCAUCUGCAAGUUUCUCCCCGCAGGCUCUCAUCUGGUUUGCUAUUGAUAUCACGCAACUGAAAAACUCGUUCACUUUAUCACUAUCUUCCAUCUCCAUGUGUUCGUAUUGUCUCUUUAGGGCUUGCAGUCUAACCUUCUUGACCUUUUCUCCUCCAGAAUGGCGACGGACAAGGAUGUUCCAUGCCUCCCUCGCGGUCACAACAUGCUGGAUCUUUUCGAAGUUUGCAUCGUCCACCCAUUGUUGUAUUAUCAACAAAGCUCUGUCGUCUUUUUCCUUCCAGUCUUUCUUCUGCUCUUCUUUUCCAGAGGCAUCAACCAUUGGAUCUCCUUCGACUACAUUGCUGACCUUCUGAACGCGGAAAACCACCCGCAUCUGGGUAUGCCAACGGCUCCAGUUAUUAUCUGUGAGUAUUGGAUAGUGCAGCGUUGAUAAUUCCGCCAUUAUCACAAGCUUCUUCAAGGCUCAAGAACGUCUGAAAUUGUACUUUCUUGGUUAGACAAGACAACCCUCCGUUCCCCGGUUUUCGAAACCUAUGCUCUAUGAUACCAUUAUUAGAGAACAACUUUUACAGAGAGAUGAAUAAGAAAGGUGAACGUAAUCUAAAUAUGCCUCGUACUCAUUUAUCAGAGAGUGUGUAAAUUUAUACAACAGAGUUACGUAAAACAGAUAGAAAUAACAGACCUAACAGACUUAACUGUCUUAGAGACAGUUUGCAUAACAACUAAUUAUAAAACCCAUAAGACUAAAAUGAGGGCAUUGAAUUAACUUUCCAAUAGAGUCAAGAGAAGGAAGGAAUCACCGGAAGAAGGAAAAUGCAGAACAGGAUCACAAACUCAGGAGAGAAAGGUGCGCUCGCUGUCCCUCAUUCUAAAACAAAUUUCUGCAACAUAAUCUUCAUGGCAUUAAUUAAAUUAACAAUAGUUACAUAUUACUUGGUUGCUUACAUUCAAUACAUAAGACCAUACAUCUCAAAGUACUUUAUGAAAAGUUAAAAUUAGUCGUACUAAACAAUGUGUCUAGACAUCCUUUGAAGUCUAAGAGAUACUAAACGUGUAAACCCAACCCAAUGCUUAAAUCACAAUGCACACCGAAUCUAGAAACAAACGUCAAGAGUCUUCAUCCAACGAUGCCACAUCCCACAUCAUUUAAGACAAAUCGUCUACAAACACACACCAUCCAAAAUAAAACCCUAUGGAAACUCACCUUUCCACGCCAUACUAUGUCGUACAGGACUUAUUAAAUGAGCAAUGACGAUUUAUUUUAAAAUCCCUAAAAAAUAUCAUCUCUCACAGGGCAACCGCCAAAUAAACACUCUUCGUGUACCUUAAGUUACCAAACCCUAUUCUCAAAACCUCUUGCAAAAACCUAAAGUCAACGAAAAACCACCCAACAAUCAUGGCCGCUCACGUUGAGGAAAUCAUCACCACUAAUGAAGUAUUUGCUAAUGCCAAAAAGGCAUUCGUCAUAAACCCAACCAUGGACAAAGCAAUUGAAAUCUACUUAGAACACUGGGUAGACCUCAAAGCCCUAAGAGUCGUGGAUAUGAAGAGAAAGUUUUUGAGCUGUAUUGUGAUGUGUCAUAUCAAAGACUGUGAUGUGUACUAAUGCAAGGAAAGAAACCAGUGGCGUAUGCAUCUUGUUAGUUGAAGGUGCAUGAGAAGAACUAUCCAAAACAUGACAUGGAGUUAGCUGCAGUAGUGUUUGUUUUAAAGACAUAGAGACAUUAUCUAUGUGGGGCGCGUUUUCAAGUCUUUAGUGAUCACAUGAGUCUGAAAUACUUGUUCGAUCAGAAGGAGUUGAAUAUGCGUAAGAGGAGAUGGAUGUAGUAUUUGAAAUACUACGAUUUUGAAUUGCAGUACCAUCCAGGUAAGGCAAAUGUUGUUGUUGAUGCUUUAGGCAGGAAGAAAGUACAAAUGACAGCCUUGAUGGUAAAAGAGUUAGAGUUGAUCGAGAAGUUACAAGAUAUGAACUUGGGAGUACAGGUGAAAGAAGGUCAUAUCUAGUGUAAUUAUUUGGCUAUCAGGAGUGACUUCUAUUACCAAUAUGAAGCAUUAUUACUUUGAAAUCAUUUUGAUGAUGAGGCACUUACAGACUUAAAGACUUAAAUAAACUAUAUUGUAAAUGUUAAAAACACUUUCUGUAGAAAUAAUUUGUAUAAGAAUUAUUUUAUAAUUGUAAGCACUUAGAAGUUUCAUAACUUAGUGAUUUAUUACAACAAUAAUCGAUUAUCAUAGGGGAUAAUCGAUUAUCACAAGUAAAGGUGGAAAAUGAUUCGUCUUGGCAAUAAUCGAUUAUCAUAGGGGAUAAUCAUUUAUCACCGCAAGUUUUGAUAUUUUCAGGAUUCAGAAAUAAUCGUUUAUCACUAUAGAUAAUCGAUUAUCACAUUUUCCAAAACUCCUAACGGCUUGAUAUAAUCGAUUAUCACUUGUGACAAUUGAUUAUCACUAGUAAUUGGGAGUUGCUUUUUCAUUUUUUGACCCCUGGCCUAUAUGGAAAAAAGGUACACAUACCCUUCCUUUAAUAUAUGUGAGAAUCACAUAAUUUCAAAAUUCUAUUUUGGCUUUCUAUAUCAUGCAGUUAUUUGAAAAUAUUUAAGUUUGGCCACGUGCUUUUAACAUUACCAAAGUCACACAUAGUUUAUUCUAGCAAGAUUAGUUACACGGAUUGUGUCAUUAGUUAUCUAGUCCUCCUCUAUUUCCAUGUUUGUUGUCUUCGGUGUAAGGAGGUAUAUUGGAAAUCUCAAGUCGGCUAAAUAAAUGACCAAGUUAUAAUGUACAAGUAGGUAUAAAGCUCACUUUCUGAGUUACAUUUUUGGAAUAUGUGAAUGCUCUUUGUCCUUAAUGUGAAGUAUGUUGAAAAUUUCACAUUAACUAAAGAUUUGCACAAAUUGUAAUGCAUAAGUGAAUACAAACCACACUUUACUAAAUUGAUUUUAUAAAAUUAAAUUAAAGUUGUUAAAAAUAUAUCUUAACAAAAUUAGCUAGGUAUAUCAAACCUAACUCUUUACCCUUCUCGGUGUCCUCAAUUUAAGAGAAUGUAUUAAAAAUUUCACAUUAAUAAAAAAUUCAUAUAUAUAUAUAUAUAUAUAUAUAUAUAUAUAAUUAAUAAAUUAGUUUAACUUAUUAUGAUUAUAAAUUAAUUUCAAAUACUCAUUUAAUUUCAAAUAAUUCAUUGUGUACAAAAAUUAACUAGAUUUAAAUAAACUUUUGAGCUAGUUACACUUUUACUCUCUCUUAGAAAAAGGACAUUAACUCCGUUUAAAGUAAACUGAUACGAAACUGCUUUUAAAAUUUUACACAAAUUUUCCAUUUGUAUAUUAAAUAUCAGUUUUCUUUCACAUUACACGUGUUCCUUCAUAAAGUUAGUGAAUGUAAGCAUAAUUUGAGAAAGGAUAUUGUAUUUGACUCAUCCAUACUAUUAUUCAGAUGAUGUUAAUUGCAUAUGAUUUUAAAAAAAAGCUGCCGAUGUUAAAAAUGUUGAUGUUGUACAUAUAUGAUGCAUAAUUGAUAAUGGGAUGUGAAAUAAUUAAAGAUGAUGUUUGUAAUUUGGAAGUGGAAAAUGAUAAAAGAUUACUUUACCUGAUUUAACUAAUAAGCAUAGAGAGAAUGGAGAAUUGGCGAGAAAGAAACAAGUGGUCAUCCAUUAUUUCAAAGAGACUCUGAAACGUUAAGUUACUGCAAAUACAAAACAUAAACACAAACACAUUAUCUAUAACUUCCAUUGAAAAGGAAACGAUUAAAAUUUCAAAUAAGAGCAGAAUAGAAGUUAACUUUUGACUGAUCUAUACCUUCAUAGAGAUGAAUGUACUCCGUUGGUUGAAUCUGAGUAGAGAAUAUGUCAUAGAAUGCAAGAGAUAAGAAUGAAAGCACAGCCUCUUUCUAACACUCAAAAUUUGUUUUCU
This 9038-nucleotide long non-coding RNA is filed under the name Vigna radiata. RNAcentral's name for it is "long non-coding RNA (VRAD_LNC011906)". Lineage: Eukaryota; Viridiplantae; Streptophyta; Magnoliopsida; Fabales; Fabaceae. The record is from RNAcentral.